CCCGCCCUAAAAUAGAACAACUAUUUACAAAUAUGAUUGAAAAGAAAUGACAGUGUAAGGAGUUCUCAAGCAGAUGGCAUAGAUGCGGAAGUGACUACAUAUGACAAGUAUUGUAACCCAUCCUGGAUUGUGCUCACUGCAGUGGUCCGGUCAGUACGGAUAAGUUCUGACAAGGUAUUAGCUUUUUCUUGGAUCGAUGUCUUUGGAAGAUUAUCAUGGGAAUCUGCAGUAGCACUCUUCAUGGCAGCUACAUAAGCCUCAGCUACAUCAGAAAUGCCUGUUACAAAACCGUUGCAAACUGCUUCAACAUAUCCUGCCAUGGAUUGUGCCUUUGUUCGGAUUACCUUAGCUUUUUCGACAGAAUCUUCAGGCCAGUCAAUGUUCACGAUAUCCCCAUCAACAUCUUCUUCCUGCACUUUGUUAGCAGUGGAUAUGAUGGACUUUCCGAGCAUCAGAAGUUGAGACACAGCUGAGCUGCACAUUUCAGAAAGCCUAUGAACCCCCUCUGAGUGAAGAGUUUCUAAUCUCCCAGCAGUUCUUUGAACAAUGUCAUUUGCAGUAAGUCCUGCUAGGGCACUUGUAAACCCUGCAGCCAUGUCAGCAGCUUUGUUGACACUUGAAUCGUGUAAGUUUUUCAUCUCAUAGCUACUUCCUUCAGUUCCGGUCUCUAUUUUCUUCCCUUUGUUGGACUCAGUAUCAUUCUCAUCCAUUUCAAUACUCAAAUUGAACAUUUGCUGAACAAGUUUAAGCUUUCCGUCAUAUACAGACUUCAGUUCCAAAGGUAAUUUUGCUUUUCUCCGGUUAAAUAAGAGGGCAUAAUGGCUGGACAAUGCCUCAAGCUCCUCCAAUUGUUCUGGACCUCCAUAUAUAUAGAAGCAUCGAUCAAAUGUUACUUCCUCAUUUAACUGAUCCUCAUCAGCUUCUCGUUCAGAGCCUUUAGGAUUUUUCUCAACUUCAAUACCAGUCUCUGUGAUUAGCAGAUCCAUGGUCUCCUUGCCAACAUAUUCAAGCACUUGCAUUCCCUUCGCAGUAAAAGAUUUUCCAGUCUCUAGUAAGGAUGGUGCACCAGCUCCUCCUGGUAUGCUACCAUGUUGGAUUGAUUCAGCAAGGUUCACAGCUGAAUGCUCAAGUUUUUGAACUAAAUUGGAACCCCCUUUCCAUGCACUUCCUAAUGCUUGCCAUGCUCCUGACGCAAAAUUCUCCACAGAGUGAUCAAGAACCUUCAAACCCUGGCCUAGAAAGGAAUC
Molecule: unclassified non-coding RNA, 1247 nt
Filed under: Hevea brasiliensis (rubber tree)
Lineage: Eukaryota; Viridiplantae; Streptophyta; Magnoliopsida; Malpighiales; Euphorbiaceae
Source: RNAcentral